ACGGGGUGCAGCAGGCGCGAAACCUCCGCAAUGCACGCAAGUGUGACGGGGGGAUUCCAAGUGUUAAUGUUUUACAUUAACUUUUCUAAAGUGUAAAUAGCUCUAGGAAUAAGGGCUGGGUAAGACGGGUGCCAGCCGCCGCGGUAAUACCCGCAGCUCAAGUGGUCUGGACUUUUAUUGGGUCUAAAGCGUUCGUAGCUGGAUUUGUAAGUUCUCUGUGAAAUCUAACGGCUCAACCGUUAGGCGUGCAGAGGAUACUAUUAAUCUUGAGACUGGGAUGGGCCAAGGGAACUCUCGGGGUAGGGGUGAAAUCCAAUAAGCCUGAGGGGACCAUCUGUGGCGAAGGCGCUUGGCUAGAACAGGUCUGACAGUGAGGGACGAAAGCUAGGGGAGCGAACGGGAUUAGAUACCCCGGUAGUCCUAGCCGUAAAUGAUGCAAACUAGGUGUUGCAGCCUUUUCGUGAGGUUGCAGUGCCGAAGGGAAGCCGUUAAGUUUGCCACCUGGAAGUACGUCGCAAGGC
RNAcentral lists this ribosomal RNA (521 nucleotides) under uncultured archaeon. RNAcentral's name for it is "bacterial SSU rRNA". It matches the Rfam family "Archaeal small subunit ribosomal RNA", at positions 325 to 849 of the family's 1478-position model. The record is from RNAcentral.